AGCGUACACGGUGGAUGCCCUGGCAGUCAGAGGCGAUGAAGGACGUGCUAAUCUGCGAUAAGCGUCGGUAAGGUGAUAUGAACCGUUAUAACCGGCGAUUUCCGAAUGGGGAAACCCAGUGUGUUUCGACACACUAUCAUUAACUGAAUCCAUAGGUUAAUGAGGCGAACCGGGGGAACUGAAACAUCUAAGUACCCCGAGGAAAAGAAAUCAACCGAGAUUCCCCCAGUAGCGGCGAGCGAACGGGGAGGAGCCCAGAGCCUGAAUCAGUGUGUGUGUUAGUGGAAGCGUCUGGAAAGGCGCGCGAUACAGGGUGACAGCCCCGUACACAAAAAUGCACAUACUGUGAGCUCGAUGAGUAGGGCGGGACACGUGGUAUCCUGUCUGAAUAUGGGGGGACCAUCCUCCAAGGCUAAAUACUCCUGACUGACCGAUAGUGAACCAGUACCGUGAGGGAAAGGCGAAAAGAACCCCGGCGAGGGGAGUGAAAAAGAACCUGAAACCGUGUACGUACAAGCAGUGGGAGCCUCUUUAUGGGGUGACUGCGUACCUUUUGUAUAAUGGGUCAGCGACUUAUAUUCUGUAGCAAGGUUAACCGAAUAGGGGAGCCGAAGGGAAACCGAGUCUUAACUGGGCGUUAAGUUGCAGGGUAUAGACCCGAAACCCGGUGAUCUAGCCAUGGGCAGGUUGAAGGUUGGGUAACACUAACUGGAGGACCGAACCGACUAAUGUUGAAAAAUUAGCGGAUGACUUGUGGCUGGGGGUGAAAGGCCAAUCAAACCGGGAGAUAGCUGGUUCUCCCCGAAAGCUAUUUAGGUAGCGCCUCGUGAAUUCAUCUCCGGGGGUAGAGCACUGUUUCGGCAAGGGGGUCAUCCCGACUUACCAACCCGAUGCAAACUGCGAAUACCGGAGAAUGUUAUCACGGGAGACACACGGCGGGUGCUAACGUCCGUCGUGAAGAGGGAAACAACCCAGACCGCCAGCUAAGGUCCCAAAGUCAUGGUUAAGUGGGAAACGAUGUGGGAAGGCCCAGACAGCCAGGAUGUUGGCUUAGAAGCAGCCAUCAUUUAAAGAAAGCGUAAUAGCUCACUGGUCGAGUCGGCCUGCGCGGAAGAUGUAACGGGGCUAAACCAUGCACCGAAGCUGCGGCAGCGACGCUUAUGCGUUGUUGGGUAGGGGAGCGUUCUGUAAGCCUGCGAAGGUGUGCUGUGAGGCAUGCUGGAGGUAUCAGAAGUGCGAAUGCUGACAUAAGUAACGAUAAAGCGGGUGAAAAGCCCGCUCGCCGGAAGACCAAGGGUUCCUGUCCAACGUUAAUCGGGGCAGGGUGAGUCGACCCCUAAGGCGAGGCCGAAAGGCGUAGUCGAUGGGAAACAGGUUAAUAUUCCUGUACUUGGUGUUACUGCGAAGGGGGGACGGAGAAGGCUAUGUUGGCCGGGCGACGGUUGUCCCGGUUUAAGCGUGUAGGCUGGUUUUCCAGGCAAAUCCGGAAAAUCAAGGCUGAGGCGUGAUGACGAGGCACUACGGUGCUGAAGCAACAAAUGCCCUGCUUCCAGGAAAAGCCUCUAAGCAUCAGGUAACAUCAAAUCGUACCCCAAACCGACACAGGUGGUCAGGUAGAGAAUACCAAGGCGCUUGAGAGAACUCGGGUGAAGGAACUAGGCAAAAUGGUGCCGUAACUUCGGGAGAAGGCACGCUGAUAUGUAGGUGAAGCGACUUGCUCGUGGAGCUGAAAUCAGUCGAAGAUACCAGCUGGCUGCAACUGUUUAUUAAAAACACAGCACUGUGCAAACACGAAAGUGGACGUAUACGGUGUGACGCCUGCCCGGUGCCGGAAGGUUAAUUGAUGGGGUUAGCGGUAACGCGAAGCUCUUGAUCGAAGCCCCGGUAAACGGCGGCCGUAACUAUAACGGUCCUAAGGUAGCGAAAUUCCUUGUCGGGUAAGUUCCGACCUGCACGAAUGGCGUAAUGAUGGCCAGGCUGUCUCCACCCGAGACUCAGUGAAAUUGAACUCGCUGUGAAGAUGCAGUGUACCCGCGGCAAGACGGAAAGACCCCGUGAACCUUUACUAUAGCUUGACACUGAACAUUGAGCCUUGAUGUGUAGGAUAGGUGGGAGGCUUUGAAGUGUGGACGCCAGUCUGCAUGGAGCCGACCUUGAAAUACCACCCUUUAAUGUUUGAUGUUCUAACGUUGGCCCCUGAUCGGGGUUGCGGACAGUGUCUGGUGGGUAGUUUGACUGGGGCGGUCUCCUCCUAAAGAGUAACGGAGGAGCACGAAGGUUGGCUAAUCCUGGUCGGACAUCAGGAGGUUAGUGCAAUGGCAUAAGCCAGCUUGACUGCGAGCGUGACGGCGCGAGCAGGUGCGAAAGCAGGUCAUAGUGAUCCGGUGGUUCUGAAUGGAAGGGCCAUCGCUCAACGGAUAAAAGGUACUCCGGGGAUAACAGGCUGAUACCGCCCAAGAGUUCAUAUCGACGGCGGUGUUUGGCACCUCGAUGUCGGCUCAUCACAUCCUGGGGCUGAAGUAGGUCCCAAGGGUAUGGCUGUUCGCCAUUUAAAGUGGUACGCGAGCUGGGUUUAGAACGUCGUGAGACAGUUCGGUCCCUAUCUGCCGUGGGCGCUGGAGAACUGAGGGGGGCUGCUCCUAGUACGAGAGGACCGGAGUGGACGCAUCACUGGUGUUCGGGUUGUCAUGCCAAUGGCACUGCCCGGUAGCUAAAUGCGGAAGAGAUAAGUGCUGAAAGCAUCUAAGCACGAAACUUGCCCCGAGAUGAGUUCU
This 2774-nucleotide ribosomal RNA is filed under the name Escherichia coli. RNAcentral describes it as "bacterial LSU rRNA". It matches the Rfam family "Bacterial large subunit ribosomal RNA". Lineage: Bacteria; Pseudomonadati; Pseudomonadota; Gammaproteobacteria; Enterobacterales; Enterobacteriaceae. The record is from RNAcentral.